UGGGGAAUAUUGGACAAUGGGCGCAAGCCUGAUCCAGCCAUGCCGCGUGAGUGAUGAAGGCCCUAGGGUUGUAAAGCUCUUUCACCGGUGAAGAUAAUGACGGUAACCGGAGAAGAAGCCCCGGCUAACUUCGUGCCAGCAGCCGCGGUAAUACGAAGGGGGCUAGCGUUGUUCGGAUUUACUGGGCGUAAAGCGCACGUAGGCGGACUAUUAAGUCAGGGGUGAAAUCCCGGGGCUCAACCCCGGAACUGCCUUUGAUACUGGUAGUCUUGAGUUCGAGAGAGGUGGGUGGAAUUCCGAGUGUAGAGGUGAAAUUCGUAGAUAUUCGGAGGAACACCAGUGGCGAAGGCGGCUCACUGGCUCGAUACUGACGCUGGGGUGCGAAAGCGUGGGGAGAAAACAGG
Molecule: ribosomal RNA, 404 nt
Filed under: Actinomycetes bacterium
Lineage: Bacteria; Bacillati; Actinomycetota; Actinomycetes
Description: Actinobacteria bacterium partial 16S ribosomal RNA
Rfam family: Bacterial small subunit ribosomal RNA
Source: RNAcentral